UACGGAGGGUGCAAGCGUUAUCCGGAUUCACUGGGUUUAAAGGGUGCGUAGGUGGGUUGGUAAGUCAGUGGUGAAAUCUCCGAGCUUAACUCGGAAACUGCCAUUGAUACUAUCAAUCUUGAAUCAUCUGGAGGUGAGCGGAAUAUGUCAUGUAGCGGUGAAAUGCUUAGAUAUGACAUAGAACACCAAUUGCGAAGGCAGCUCACUACACGAAUAUUGACACUGAGGCACGAAAGCGUGGGGAUCAAACAGG
Molecule: ribosomal RNA, 253 nt
Filed under: uncultured bacterium
Lineage: Bacteria
Description: partial 16S ribosomal RNA
Rfam family: Bacterial small subunit ribosomal RNA
Source: RNAcentral